AAGAACGGAAAGGCUUGCAGCUCAAAGAUUCGCCGGAUUGUUAAGGUAAAGGGGGUUUAUCGUCGAUUAAUGGGUAUUAUGGGAUAAUAUGUAUGGUGUAGUGAGAAACCGUUGAAUCGACCCUAAUUGGGAUUUGGAAUCUUGAAAAUUUGUGAUGAAUAAGUUGAGUGAAAACCGUGAAUCAAAUUGAUAAUUGUGUGUGUGUAAUCAAACCGAUAAAUGUGGUGAUGAAAUGGCGACGAGUAAGUUUGAGUGGGAAGGGUCUGGAAUGGGCACAUGAGAUCCUGCCCAAAGAAAACGCGUCUGGUGAACUGUCAUGUUCGCCUAGCGAACAUAACCUUCGCCUAGCGAAGGAACGCGCCUAACCUCGCCCCAGCGAGAUUGAGAGGUUUUGCUACUGUAAUGUUCGCUGUGGACUCGCUGGAGCUUCGCCUAGCGAGUGAGUGCUAGCUGUGUUUUUUCACCAAAACAGAAUGAGUUCGCUAUUACUUUCGCCUUGAGCUCGCCUAGCGAAUUAAUUUACCAAUUUCCUGGAGCUGUUCGCGUUGAGCUCGCCUAGCGAACCAGAGCUUCGCCACUGCCUCGCCUAGCGAGCAAGGCAGAAGAAGUGUUUAUACAUUGUUGCUGAGGUGUUCAUACAUGUGUUGAGGAAGUGUUUUAUAUAUGUGUUGAUGAUGUGUUGAUACAUGUAUUGAUGAUGUAUGAUGAUAUGCAAAAUGUUGUGAAUGUAUAUAUUAUGCAUGUAUUUGUGAAUGGACUGUCGUAUGGCUUAAAGUGUGAGCAUAUGUCAUUGUGAGUGGUUGUUGAUGCUGCAUUGCUAGAUGAUUAGUGUGCAUGGCAUAGCCUGUGGGGCUGUAGCUAAUUCCCAUUGUGAGGAAUUGGUGAGUGAAUUCGUUGUGAAUUGUUGUUGAUGUUUGCAUGCUAGAUGAUUAGCUUGCAUAGUCUAGCCUUUGGGGCUGUAGCUAAUUCCCAUGGUGAGGAAUUAGUGAGUGAGUCAUUAGAUCUCAAUGAGUGGGACUAGUGAGCUUAGUAGCCGUAUCCGGAGGGAUCGGUGAGCUUGAACUAUAUGUUCAAGGAUAGUCGGUACCGCAUGUGUAGAUCUCAUUGCAUAAAAAUAUGUAUGGCGUAUAAUAUGAAUGGAUGUGUUCCAAUAUUAUACGUGUGUUGUGUUGUUGUUAAGUAUGAUUUGAGAUUAAUACUGGUAUUGUAUAUUGAUGUUGAGAAUGAUGUUUAAGCCAAUGAGCUAUUACUGAAUGUGUAUUGCAAUUAGGGUGAUUGAUGUGUUAAUUACUUGGCAUUACAUGUUGUUUUAAUAAUGCUUAUUAUAUUGAUUGAGGAACUCACCCUUACACUAUUUUUCAGGUAACGAGAAAUGAGUUGAGUAGAAGCAAAUGCUUGGAGUCUAGUGUAGUCUCCCUAGUGGGUCAUGCUCUGAUAGAUGUAACAUCGGGCGGGAAAAACUUUGACUAUUUAUUGUUGUUGUUGUUGAACUAAAUUACAUGUGAUGUUACAUGUUUUGCAUGAUUGAGUUGAUCUCUAUCCGCUGCGUAAUUGUGCAAAUACUUUAUAUUUAACUUUAAAUAAA
This 1585-nucleotide long non-coding RNA is filed under the name Lathyrus oleraceus (garden pea). RNAcentral describes it as "Pisum sativum (pea) long non-coding RNA (PSAT_LNC019493)". The record is from RNAcentral. Lineage: Eukaryota; Viridiplantae; Streptophyta; Magnoliopsida; Fabales; Fabaceae.